CCUCUCACUUAUGGUAUCAAAAAUCAAAACCAUGCUUAAAUGUAUUAGUCAACGCAUUGAAAUAUGCAGGGGGAUGUCCAUCAACUAUUCUACGUGGUUUUCUUGAUCCAGCUGGCAUUCUGCACCUUGGGAGAUAGUAUUUACGGCAUUAUAUUCCUUAAAUACACAGGAAAAUUAGCAGUUUCAGGCACUUUAGAAGAAACUUGAAGAGGAGGAGAAAAGAAGUGCAAAACGAAAA
Molecule: long non-coding RNA, 238 nt
Organism: Syzygium oleosum
Lineage: Eukaryota; Viridiplantae; Streptophyta; Magnoliopsida; Myrtales; Myrtaceae
Exons: 2
Source: RefSeq, a predicted model, not a curated record